Molecule: transfer RNA, 72 nt
Filed under: Aspergillus flavus NRRL3357
Lineage: Eukaryota; Fungi; Ascomycota; Eurotiomycetes; Eurotiales; Aspergillaceae
Also listed under: 2 other names
Description: tRNA-Cys (GCA) (tRNA-Cys-GCA-1-1)
Rfam family: tRNA
About the family: Transfer RNA (tRNA) molecules are approximately 80 nucleotides in length.
Source: RNAcentral
GGGGCUGUAGCUCAGUGGUAGAGUGGAAGAUUGCAAAUCUUUAGGUCGCCGGUUCGAACCCGGCCAGUCCCU